This 460-nucleotide ribosomal RNA is filed under the name uncultured bacterium. Its description in RNAcentral is "partial 16S ribosomal RNA". It matches the Rfam family "Bacterial small subunit ribosomal RNA", at positions 338 to 795 of the family's 1533-position model. The record is from RNAcentral.
CCUACGGGAGGCAGCAGUGAGGAAUAUUGGUCAAUGGACGCGAGUCUGAACCAGCCAAGUAGCGUGAAGGAUGACUGCCCUAUGGGUUGUAAACUUCUUUUAUAUGGGAAUAAAACGUUCCACGUGUGGGAUUUUGUAUGUACCAUAUGAAUAAGGAUCGGCUAACUCCGUGCCAGCAGCCGCGGUAAUACGGAGGAUCCGCGCGUUAUCCGGAUUUAUUGGGUUUAAAGGGAGCGUAGGUGGAUUGUUAAGUCAGUUGUGAAAGUUUGCGGCUCAACCGUAAAAUUGCAGUUGAAACUGGCAGUCUUGAGUACAGUAGAGGUAGGCGGAAUUCGUGGUGUAGCGGUGAAAUGCUUAGAUAUCACGAAGAACUCCGAUUGCGAAGGCAGUUCACUGGACUGCAACUGACACUGAGGCUCGAAAGUGUGGGUAUCAAACAGGAUUAGAUACCCCUGUAGUC